This 253-nucleotide ribosomal RNA is filed under the name uncultured bacterium. Its description in RNAcentral is "partial 16S ribosomal RNA". It matches the Rfam family "Bacterial small subunit ribosomal RNA", at positions 524 to 776 of the family's 1533-position model. The record is from RNAcentral.
UACGAAGGGGGCUAGCGUUGCUCGGAAUCACUGGGCGUAAAGCGCACGUAGGCGGAUUGUUAAGUCAGGGGUGAAAUCCUGGAGCUCAACUCCAGAACUGCCUUUGAUACUGGCGAUCUUGAGGCUGGAAGAGGUUAGUGGAAUUCCCAGUGUAGAGGUGAAAUUCGUAGAUAUUGGGAAGAACACCAGUGGCGAAGGCGGCUAACUGGUCCAGAUCUGACGCUGAGGUGCGAAAGCGUGGGGAGCAAACAGG